RNAcentral lists this ribosomal RNA (448 nucleotides) under uncultured bacterium. Its description in RNAcentral is "SSU rRNA". It matches the Rfam family "Bacterial small subunit ribosomal RNA", at positions 26 to 518 of the family's 1533-position model. The record is from RNAcentral.
AGAGCGAACGCUGGCGGCAGGCCUAACACAUGCAAGUCGAGCGCCCGUAGCAAUACGGGAGCGGCAGACGGGAUAGUAACACGUGGGAACGCGCCCUUCGGUUCGGAAUAACUCAGGGAAACUUGAGCUAAUACCGGAUACGCCCUUACGGGGAAAGAUUUAUUGCCGAAGGAACGGCCCGCGUCCGAUUAGCUAGUUGGUGAGGUAAUGGCUCACCAAGGCGACGAUCGGUAGCUGGUCUGAGAGGAUGACCAGCAUCACUGGGACUGAGACACGGCCCAGACUCCUACGGGAGGCAGCAGUGGGGAAUAUUGGACAAUGGGCGCAAACCUGAUCCAGCCAUGCCGCGUGGAUGAUGAAGGCCUUAGGGUUGUAAAGUCCUUUUAACGGGGAAGAUAAUGACGGUACCCGUAGAAUAAGCCCCGGCUAACUUCGUGCCAGCAGCCGC